AAUGGACGGAAGUCUGAACCAGCCAUCCCGCGUGCAGGAUGAAGGUCCUAUGGAUUGUAAACUGCUUUUAGCAGAGACGAAACGCCUCCAUUUAUGGGGGUCUGACGGUAUCUGCGGAAUAAGCACCGGCUAACUCCGUGCCAGCAGCCGCGGUAAUACGGAGGGUGCAAGCGUUAUCCGGAAUCACUGGGUUUAAANGGUGCGUAGGCGGGGAAUUAAGUCAGUGGUGAAAGCCUGUCGCUUAACGAUAGAAUUGCCAUUGAUACUGAUUUUCUUGAAUUGGGUUGAGGUUAGCGGAAUGUGACAUGUAGCGGUGAAAUGCAUAGAUAUGUCAUGGAACACCAAUUGCGAAGGCAGCUAACUGGGCCUUGAUUGACGCUGAGGCACGAAAGCGUGGGCAGCGAA
RNAcentral lists this ribosomal RNA (405 nucleotides) under uncultured bacterium. Its description in RNAcentral is "bacterial SSU rRNA". It matches the Rfam family "Bacterial small subunit ribosomal RNA", at positions 370 to 772 of the family's 1533-position model. The record is from RNAcentral.